This 427-nucleotide ribosomal RNA is filed under the name uncultured bacterium. RNAcentral's name for it is "partial 16S ribosomal RNA". It matches the Rfam family "Bacterial small subunit ribosomal RNA", at positions 355 to 774 of the family's 1533-position model. The record is from RNAcentral.
UGGGGAAUAUUGCACAAUGGGCGCAAGCCUGAUGCAGCCAUGCCGCGUGUAUGAAGAAGGCCUUCGGGUUGUAAAGUACUUUCAGCGGGGAGGAAGGUGUUGUGGUUAAUAACCACAGCAAUUGACGUUACCCGCAGAAGAAGCACCGGCUAACUCCGUGCCAGCAGCCGCGGUAAUACGGAGGGUGCAAGCGGUAAUCGGAAUUAAUGGGCGUAAAGCGCACGCAGGCGGUCUGUCAAGUCGGAUGUGAAAUCCCCGGGCUCAACCUGGGAACUGCAUCCGAAACUGGCAGGCUUGAGUCUUGUAGAGGGGGGUAGAAUUCCAGGUGUAGCGGUGAAAUGCGUAGAGAUCUGGAGGAAUACCGGUGGCGAAGGCGGCCCCCUGGACAAAGACUGACGCUCAGGUGCGAAAGCGUGGGGAGCAAACA